RNAcentral lists this ribosomal RNA (494 nucleotides) under uncultured bacterium. RNAcentral describes it as "partial 16S ribosomal RNA". It matches the Rfam family "Bacterial small subunit ribosomal RNA", at positions 28 to 507 of the family's 1533-position model. The record is from RNAcentral.
GACGAACGCUGGCGGCGUGCUUAACACAUGCAAGUCGAACGGAAAGGCCUGCUUUCCCUUGUGGAUUGCGGGUACUCGAGUGGCGAACGGGUGAGUAACACGUGAGUGAUCUGCCCCCAACUUGGGUAUAAGCCUGGGAAACUGGGUCUAAUUCCCGAUAGGACUGCAGGGUGGUGCCUGUGGUGGAAAACGAUUUUCUAGUGGUUGGGGAUGAGCUCGCGGCCUAUCAGCUUGUUGGUGGGGUAAUGGCCUACCAAGGCGGCGACGGGUAGCCGGCCUGGGAGGGUGGACGGCGACAUUGGGACUGGGAUACGGCCCAGACUCCUACGGGAGGCAGCAGUGGGGAAUAUUGCACAAUAGGCGGAAGCCUGAUGCAGCGACGCCGCGUGGGGGAUGACGGCCUUCGGGUUGUAAACUCCUUUCGACCGCGAGGAAGCCACCUGGUUGGAAGGGUGGUGACGGUAGUGGUAGAAGAAGCACCGGCUAACUACGUG